Molecule: long non-coding RNA, 292 nt
Organism: Triticum aestivum (bread wheat)
Lineage: Eukaryota; Viridiplantae; Streptophyta; Magnoliopsida; Poales; Poaceae
Exons: 3
Source: RefSeq, a predicted model, not a curated record
UGGCAUGAAUUACAUGAAAAAGCUUCGCGCCAAGCAGUUAGGAUUGCUGCUAGGUUCACAAACAUUCAUCCGGGGCUAGCAUAUUAUGGUUUCCUGGAGUAUAAACAGAGCACACACGUUUAUCUCAAGUUCGUGAAAGAUCUCGACUCUGUGUUUUUUGAGAUAUGGAAGCUGGUCAAUGCUCAGAUGUGUUUCAGAAAUGCUCUGAAGCAUGUUUAUGAGGAGAAGCAGUUUCCAUUACGCAAACAUGAUUUGGAAUACGUGCUGAGUCACCCUGGCUCGUUGGGACCGG